This 464-nucleotide ribosomal RNA is filed under the name uncultured bacterium. RNAcentral describes it as "partial 16S ribosomal RNA". It matches the Rfam family "Bacterial small subunit ribosomal RNA", at positions 339 to 795 of the family's 1533-position model. The record is from RNAcentral.
CUAUGGGCGGCUCCAGUGGGGAAUAUUGCACAAUGAGCGAAAGCUUGAUGCAGCCAUACCGCGUGUGUGAAGAAGGCCCGAGGGUUGUAAAGCACUUUCAAUUGGGAGGAAGGUUAAGUAGUUAAUACCUGCUUAAUUUGACGUUACCUUUAGAAGAAGCACCGGCUAACUCUGUGCCAGCAGCCGCGGUAAUACAGAGGGUGCAAGCGUUAUUCGGAAUUACUGGGCGUAAAGCGCGCGUAGGCGGAUUAUUAAGUCAGUUGGGAAAGCCCUGGGCUCAACCUGGGAACUGCAUCUGAUACUGGUAGUCUAGAGUUUAAGAGAGGGAAGUGGAAUUCCAGGUGUAGCAGUGAAAUGCGUAGAUAUCUGGAGGAACAUCAGUGGCGAAGGCGACUUCCUGGCUUAAAACUGACGCUGAGGUGCGAAAGCGUGGGUAGCGAACGGGAUUAGAUACCCCGGUAGUC